This 292-nucleotide ribosomal RNA is filed under the name uncultured Janthinobacterium sp. Its description in RNAcentral is "partial 16S ribosomal RNA". It matches the Rfam family "Bacterial small subunit ribosomal RNA", at positions 90 to 385 of the family's 1533-position model. Lineage: Bacteria; Pseudomonadati; Pseudomonadota; Betaproteobacteria; Burkholderiales; Oxalobacteraceae. The record is from RNAcentral.
GGCGAGUGGCGAACGGGUGAGUAAUAUAUCGGAACGUACCCUAGAGUGGGGGAUAACGUAGCGAAAGUUACGCUAAUACCGCAUACGAUCUAAGGAUGAAAGUGGGGGAUCGCAAGACCUCAUGCUCGUGGAGCGGCCGAUAUCUGAUUAGCUAGUUGGUAGGGUAAAAGCCUACCAAGGCAUCGAUCAGUAGCUGGUCUGAGAGGACGACCAGCCACACUGGAACUGAGACACGGUCCAGACUCCUACGGGAGGCAGCAGUGGGGAAUUUUGGACAAUGGGCGAAAGCCUG